This 66-nucleotide transfer RNA is filed under the name Trachylepis albilabris (Guinea mabuya). RNAcentral's name for it is "tRNA-Cys". Lineage: Eukaryota; Metazoa; Chordata; Lepidosauria; Squamata; Scincidae. The record is from RNAcentral.
GUAGUCCUGCGGUGUUUCACGCUAGAGUGCAAAUCUAGAGACGAACCCUAACGGCGUUCCAGGGCU